This 300-nucleotide ribosomal RNA is filed under the name uncultured eukaryote. RNAcentral's name for it is "SSU rRNA". It matches the Rfam family "Eukaryotic small subunit ribosomal RNA", at positions 111 to 414 of the family's 1831-position model. The record is from RNAcentral.
ACUAGUCUAUCUGAUGUUCAAUUGUUAUAUGGAUAACUGUGGAAAAUCUAGAGCUAAUACAUGCGUCAAGACCCAACUUCACGGACGGGUUGUAUUUAUUAGAUACAGAACCAAUACCCUCGGGUUUUUGGAUGAUUCAUAAUAAACGAACGGAGCGCGUUGGCUUGUGCCGGCGCUAUAUCACUCGAGGUUCUGACCUAUCAGCUUUCGACGGUAGGGUAUUGGCCUACCGUGGCGGUGACGGGUAACGGAGAAUUAGGGUUCGAUUCCGGAGAGGGAGCCCGAGAAACGGCUACCACA